RNAcentral lists this ribosomal RNA (200 nucleotides) under uncultured bacterium. RNAcentral describes it as "partial 16S ribosomal RNA". It matches the Rfam family "Bacterial small subunit ribosomal RNA", at positions 30 to 242 of the family's 1533-position model. The record is from RNAcentral.
AUUGAACGCUGGCGGCAGGCCUAACACAUGCAAGUCGAGCGGGGUUUUCGGACCUAGCGGCGGACGGGUGAGUAAUGCGUAGGAAGCUGCCCGAUAGAGGGGGAUACCUGUUGGAAACGACUGUUAAUACCGCAUAAUGUCUACGGACCAAAGUGUGGGACCUUCGGGCCACAUGCUAUCGGAUGCGCCUACGUGGGAUU